UACGUAGGGUGCAAGCGUUGUCCGGAAUUAUUGGGCGUAAAGAGCUCGUAGGCGGUUUGUCGCGUCUGCUGUGAAAACCCGAGGCUCAACCUCGGGCCUGCAGUGGGUACGGGCAGACUAGAGUGCGGUAGGGGAGAUUGGAAUUCCUGGUGUAGCGGUGGAAUGCGCAGAUAUCUGGAGGAACACCGGUGGCGAAGGCGGCAUCCUGGACCGACACUGACGCUGAUGAGCGAAAGCGUGGGGAGCGAACAGG
Molecule: ribosomal RNA, 253 nt
Filed under: uncultured bacterium
Lineage: Bacteria
Description: partial 16S ribosomal RNA
Rfam family: Bacterial small subunit ribosomal RNA
Source: RNAcentral